GGAUGGGAUCUCCCAAGGGCACUGAAGGUGAUGCCCCCGCAGCCCCCGAGCAGAAAUCCCGCAGGGCGCUGUCCGCUGAGAACUGGUAGGCACGAGGUGCUCCGAAGACUUCUGGGACUUGUAGUCCAGACGUCCAGCCGCGCGCGGCCCUUUAGGUGCUGUAGUCGGCGGCCAGCUCUGCGCACGCGCGCGGCGGGUGCCUCUGGGAAUCUAUGGGUAGCGGUGUGGCGCCAGAAGCGGAGCCCUGAGUACUGCGUCGGCUCGUGUUUGGAGUUUCCGUGCUCAGAGAGGCCCCUAAGUGUUUGGCGGAAAAGUAAACUUAAGUGUGCCGUCCCCCUCUCCACCAGGGCCUCGACUCCGGAGGGCCGGCGUGGCCCGGGGCCCAAACACACACGCUCCCUCCCCGGAGGAAGCCACGACUCGGGGAAGUCCAACAGGGCACCGGUCCACGGCCCCCGUGGGGCCUCGAUUACAAGGACCGGGGCACGGAAACCUUGGUCAGCGGGGCUGUCCUCGAGAGAACCGCGUGAGGUCUGCGCGGAGGGACUGCGCUUCAAGCCACCGCGGCCACAUGGGAUCCGAGGUUUUGGAUACCUUUAAGGAUGUGGCCAUGACCUUCACCCAGGAAGAGUGGGGACAGCUGAACCUGGACCAGAGGGCCCUGUACCAGGAAGUGAUGGCGGAGACCUGCAGAUUCCUGGUCUCACUGGGAAAGGGCUCACCCCUCACCCCUGGGCAAGCAGCCUUCUUGAUUUCUAGCUGAUCAAGAAGGACAGAGGAGCUACCUUCCCUCCUCCCCAAACACCCUGCAGUUUUCUGGUUCCUUCUUCUCCCUCCUGUAUCUGCAUCAAGGAUCAUUGGGAUAGAAACAACAUCCUUCCGAACACAAAGCCUCACCCCAGUACCCAGCACACUCAGGCCUCAGUCUCAGGUCCGUAUUCCAGAUUCCACAGGAGGGAAGCUGACUGGCCCAGCCUGGUUGGGUCAGGUAUCCCAGGGCCCAAUUAGCAGGGCUGUGAGUGCUGGGCUAUUCUCAGCAAAGAACAGGGGACUGGGUGGUGAGGGAAAAGCUCAAGAUUGAUCUCUGGGAAAACUCUUGGACAACAAGAUUUAGAGACCUGGACUGGUGAACACAAUUGACUUUCUGAGAGGGUGGUGUGCCCGGAGAGAGCGUGGAAGCUCUGAGCUGCAACCUCCCCCCCAUAACUUUCCUAAUACAUGGCUUCCAUUUGGCUGUUCUGAGUUGUUACCUUUAUAAUAGGCCAAUAAAUAUAAUAGUGUUUUCCUGAGUUCUGUGCUCCAGUCCAGCAAAUUAUCAAAACUGGGAGGCAGGUCAUAGGAGUCCCCAAAUUUGUAGCUGGGUUGGGCAAAAGUAUGGGUAGUGUGGGGACCCAGGACUUUUUUUUUUUUUUUAAGAUUUUAUUUAUUUAUCUGAGAGAGAGAGAGCACAUGAGAGGGGGGAGGGUCAGAGGAAGAAGCAGACUCCCUGCUGAGCAGGGAGCCUGAUGCGGGACUCAAUCCAGGGACUCCAGGAUCAUGACCUGAGCCGAAGGCAGUUGCCCAACCAGCUGAGCCACCCAGGCGCCCAG
RNAcentral lists this long non-coding RNA (1589 nucleotides) under Zalophus californianus (California sea lion). RNAcentral describes it as "lncRNA (ENSZCAG00015021953.1)". Lineage: Eukaryota; Metazoa; Chordata; Mammalia; Carnivora; Otariidae. The record is from RNAcentral.